RNAcentral lists this ribosomal RNA (253 nucleotides) under uncultured bacterium. RNAcentral describes it as "partial 16S ribosomal RNA". It matches the Rfam family "Bacterial small subunit ribosomal RNA", at positions 524 to 776 of the family's 1533-position model. The record is from RNAcentral.
UACGUAGGGGGCUAGCGUUGUCCGGAAUCAUUGGGCGUAAAGCGCGUGUAGGCGGUCCGGUAAGUCCGCUGUGAAAGUCGGGGGCUCAACCCUCGGAUGCCGGUGGAUACUGUCGGGCUUGAGUACGGAAGAGGCGAGUGGAAUUCCUGGUGUAGCGGUGAAAUGCGCAGAUAUCGGGAGGAACACCAAUUGCGAAGGCAGCUCGCUGGGACGUUACUGACGCUGAGGAACGAAAGCUAGGGUAGCGAACGGG